This 465-nucleotide ribosomal RNA is filed under the name Vreelandella stevensii. Its description in RNAcentral is "partial 16S ribosomal RNA". It matches the Rfam family "Bacterial small subunit ribosomal RNA", at positions 338 to 795 of the family's 1533-position model. The record is from RNAcentral. Lineage: Bacteria; Pseudomonadati; Pseudomonadota; Gammaproteobacteria; Oceanospirillales; Halomonadaceae.
CCUACGGGAGGCAGCAGUGGGGAAUAUUGGACAAUGGGGGCAACCCUGAUCCAGCCAUGCCGCGUGUGUGAAGAAGGCCCUCGGGUUGUAAAGCACUUUCAGUGAGGAAGAACGCCUGGUGGUUAAUACCCAUCAGGAAAGACAUCACUCACAGAAGAAGCACCGGCUAACUCCGUGCCAGCAGCCGCGGUAAUACGGAGGGUGCGAGCGUUAAUCGGAAUUACUGGGCGUAAAGCGCGCGUAGGUGGCUUGAUAAGCCGGUUGUGAAAGCCCCGGGCUCAACCUGGGAACGGCAUCCGGAACUGUCAAGCUAGAGUGCAGGAGAGGAAGGUAGAAUUCCCGGUGUAGCGGUGAAAUGCGUAGAGAUCGGGAGGAAUACCAGUGGCGAAGGCGGCCUUCUGGACUGACACUGACACUGAGGUGCGAAAGCGUGGGUAGCAAACAGGAUUAGAUACCCCAGUAGAC